ACAAAGAAGUUGUUUAAAUGGUUUUAAAUUCAUGCACUAAACUGAAAAAACGCCCUAACAUUAGCAACAAAAUUUAUGACUACAAUCGCGGUUAAGAUUCUGACAGAGAAAUAAGAGGAUGCAAAAUUGGGAGAAGGAGAAAG
Cucurbita maxima (winter squash) is the source of this 143-nucleotide long non-coding RNA. RefSeq lists it as uncharacterized. NCBI's taxonomy places the organism in Eukaryota, Viridiplantae, Streptophyta, Magnoliopsida, Cucurbitales, Cucurbitaceae. The transcript has 3 exons. The record is from RefSeq and is a predicted model, not a curated record.